ACUUGGCUUCUCCCUGCUCUUAACAGAUAGGCCCCUCUUGGCUUGCCAGCCCCUCCAGCUGGUGGGGUGGAUAUACAUGACAGAAUUAUUUUCUAGGCUAAGCAGAAACUUCCUGUCCCAAAGUCUACAAAAGUCAGCAGAUAAACAGUGAUGGAUUUCAGUGGAUACUGACUAGGGUAAUUCACUAAGUAAUUGUUCCUUCUAAGGCAGCAGCAGAAAAGCAAACAGGCUGGACAAGACAAAAAGGAUGAAGGAAGAGACAGAGUGAGAGCACCAGUGGAGCAACUGAUUUCCCAUCAUAUCAUCUCAUUUCAUUAUUACCAGAAUCAAAUAAGCAAAAAACUCACACAUCAGGCUUUUAUAAUCAUGAGAGCUGAGAAUGAAUGAAUACGUUGGAUUACUUUGUACUGACCUGAUGUCAGAGCCUUUACAGUGAUAGAAUUACAGACUUUUUGGAGACUAUUGAUGUCAGAAUUUGCCUUUAACUCAUGCAAGUAAGAAAAAUAACCUCACCUAAUCAUAGGAAUCUACAGCUAGGUCUUUAAGUAUAAGUGCUUAAACUGUGCACCCAGUUCAGUGCUAUACUCAUUGCUGUCUCCUGAGGUUUGAAAAUUAAUUAUCAUUAAGCAAGGGGCAGAAUUAAAUACAGAAGAACCAAGGUAAGAUCCAGUUGCAGAGAGUGGUGGUUUUGGCGCUGGGACUUAAAAUGGACUCUACAGUACGUGUCACCAUAGUAUGAUGAUGCUUUCAUUUUCUUGUUUCCCCAUCCAAACAGACUCAAGU
Molecule: long non-coding RNA, 783 nt
Filed under: Cyanistes caeruleus (blue tit)
Lineage: Eukaryota; Metazoa; Chordata; Aves; Passeriformes; Paridae
Description: lncRNA (ENSCCEG00000020378.1)
Source: RNAcentral